CCCUAACCCAUUCUCACGCUGAUUUCUUUCCCUUCCUCCCCUCGCUGUUUCUCUUCCUCCGCGGGUUCUUCUUCCCCGAGCCGCUUCGUCUUCCCCAAACCGACGGUGCCAACCCGAUGCGACUCUUCUUCUCCUCGCUGAUGAAGCCAUCGACCAAGGGAAGCCCUAGCGUCGUCUCCCUUCUCACCUGAUCCUCGUCGACCUCCUCUCCGACUCCACAGCUCGACGCCACAAGGGGAUCACAUCAGCUCCGUUCAACCCACCGUCGAUCCGUGUCCUAACGGUGAGUGGAUGCUCUUGAUUGGAUCAUCUUUCUCACGGUGGUUACAUUUUUGGUCGCUAUCCGUGCCCUACGUCCAUCGCUGAGGCAUUGCCCUCUUCGAGUCAUUGCCUCGUGUGAGCAAAUCUCCGGCCAAGAAAGGGGAUCUUAGCCCUGGACUCAAUCUCCUAUACCUCUGUGCACCGCAGCUCUGUCUUCAAAUACAUCACUUCAGCCAAUUCAUCUUCUCCUCUUGAAUUCAUCAUUGCUGUGCAUUAGCUCCGUCGCAGAUCUCCCCUGUCAUGGAUCGACAUCAAUUUGGUCGAAAAGGAAGCUGCGAAUCUAGAUUUGGGGGGUGGGGGUGUAUUUGGUUGCUCCAUCUCAAGCGGGUAGUGGCGUUUCUUGUUUCCAACAGCAGCUCCAGCUUUAUUUCCGGCAGCAACCUCAUGAUAGCAUUCUAUUUUCUUCAUUGAGCAGCCGCGGUUCUGAAUUGAGGCCUUUGAUUCGAGAUGAGUGUCUCGAUGUGGGAUCUCCAUUUUUAAGGCGGGUACCUUUGACUUAUCUUUUUAAUAUUGUCAUUCUGAUAUGUUUAGUGAGUUAUAACUAGUAGUAAUACUUAUGCUUAUAUCUGCUUGGUAUGUCACUACUUGAUACCGUAUUUUAUCAUAUUGUUAUCUGUUAUACAUUUAUGCUUAUGCCCUCUUGAUUCUUGCAUUGUGUACUUAUGUAGUGGCAUACCAUGCAUUACCGAAUAUAGAUUUAGCUACUAGAUAUACUUGAUAUGUGUACCUAGUUUAUUACUUGACAUGUGUACCUAGUUUAUUACCUAGCAUGCACACCUAGGUUUAUUACUUGGCAUAUGUACCUAGAUUAUUGAUAUGGACUUGGUUUUCCUUUUGGUACACAUUAUAAGGAGGUUAAUAUUUUCAGGAGUUAUAUGCUUAGUGUCAUGCACCAUUUUGCAUGAUUACCUGCUGAGCAAUUGUCAGCUCCAUUAUUGUUGAACACAUCGCCAGUUACAUGAUCUGCACAUACAACCACUCAUGGGUUAGUGGUAUA
Molecule: long non-coding RNA, 1318 nt
Organism: Zingiber officinale
Lineage: Eukaryota; Viridiplantae; Streptophyta; Magnoliopsida; Zingiberales; Zingiberaceae
Exons: 3
Source: RefSeq, a predicted model, not a curated record